Molecule: unclassified non-coding RNA, 2719 nt
Filed under: Leishmania donovani
Lineage: Eukaryota; Euglenozoa; Kinetoplastea; Trypanosomatida; Trypanosomatidae
Description: gene:LdHU3.36.8860(CDS-product:rib72_protein-like _protein)
Source: RNAcentral
CGAAGGUAAGCAUAUCAGUCCAUCAACCGCGCUGCCCGACAGAAGCUUGCGCAACAGAACAAGCACGACGGCAAAACGGCAGACCGAAGGAAAGGCACCAUCAGACGCAUAACCCGGCAAAAACAAAAUGAGCAUCCGCGAAAAGACGGUGUAUAAUGCGCUGCCCAAGCUUCCAGGCUUCUCAUUCGCAGAGCUGCAACACCCCGCAACGCAUGGAAGACGACAGUACUGCACCAUCGACGAUGAAGGCACACGGACCGUGAAGGAUGCAGCGGCCCUCGACGGCUCCGCUGUAGCCGCCGGCUCGGCGCCGGAGGGGUGUGGCAUCCCGGUGCGCAUCAUUCUCCAGCGCUUUCCGUCGUGGCGAACCGUAGACGACAAGGUGCUGCGCUUUUUCGCCUAUUACACGGAGAACGUGGUGGGAAGCAGAAUUGAGACAUGGCGAGUGCGCAAGGUGAAGCUGCACUACUUUCUCGCUGACGGAUCUCUGAGCAUCGUGGAGACACCGGCAGUGGCAAACAGCGGCCUGCAGAAGGGCACUAUGGUGUCGCGCUUCAGACCAGACGGGGUGGACGUCUUCCGGCUCUGCAUCGGCGCCUCCAUUAAGUGCCGUGGGUUGGAGUACAACCUCGUAGACUGCGACGCCUUUACGCGCGAUUUUUUCGAGGUGAUGGGGAUGCCACAGCCCGAGCCGCUCGAGUACCCUCGUGACGAGUUCGAGACGAGCGCCACGCGCCGCCCUGGCAGGAUAGAUGAGCAGCACAUCGAAAUGCGGCGCGUGGUUGAGAUGCAGGCGGCAACGCGUGCGGGCACUCAUGCCAGCCUUCUCACACCUGCAGAGCGGGCAAAGGCGCGCGACUUCUACGAAUACGACCGCAACGUGCUGUGCUUCUACGCUGUCUGGGAAAAGAGGAAGUUCCGCAUCUACUUCUACCUGGCGGAUGGUAGCAUUGCCGUGCUUUUCGACAAGGCGGAGAACGACGGCCGCGACCCGUACCCGGUCUUUGUGCGCCGCCGCCGCAUCCCGAAGGAGGCGCGCGCGGUGCUGCUCUCCUCCGAAACGCUCAACCACCCGCAGGGUCCACCACCGGCGUGCGUGGGCGCGGAGGAUCUGCGCACCGGUACAACGGUGGACAUCUUCACGCGACCCUUCUUCAUCUACGACUGCGACGAGCACACACGGGCGUACAUGGAGGCGCGAGGCAUCCCUGAGCCAGCCGUCACCACGCCACUGUGCGAAGAAGACGAAAUCACGGUAGGCAAGCGCCGACCACGGCUGGCCAAGGAUGCACGCGAUGCCGCCGGCGACUCUGGCAAGCGCUUCGGCGCGUCGACAAUGGUCUUCAGAGACUCUGCUGGGGAGAAAGAUGCGUUGAAGCUAACCCGCUACGCGCAAGAUGUCUUCCGCUUUGGUGCCGAGAUGGUGAACCCGUCGGAAGAGAAUGAGGGGCGUCAGUUCAUCGUGUGCUACUACCUCGCUGACGACACCGUGUCCGUCUUCGAGCUGCAGGUGCCGAAUAGCGGCCACGUUGGUGGGAAGAUUUUUGCGCGCCGUGCGGUGGAAAACCUGCAGAACCCCGCGCGGCUCAAGGUGGGCAACAUCAUUCGCCUGGAUGGCGUCGACUACCUGCUCAAGGAGAUGGAUGAGCGCACGAAGAGGUACCUCGAGAUGGGAAUGCCUAACAUGGAGGAGUCCUAUUUUCGCACCCAGGAAAUUCUCGGCAUAGUGGCUUCGUACCUACAGCAGCAGUUUUCCCGCAUAUCCGACGCCUUUCGUCACUACGCCUCAUCGUCGACGCAAGGGCUGACGCGAGAGAACGUGCGCGAGGUGCUGAGUGACGCCGGCGUACACGCGACGGAUGCAGAGCUGGCCAACGUGAUGGAGCGCGCCGACGGCGACAAGGAUGGUUGGGUGUCGCUGGCUGAUUUCACGGAGCAGUUCAUGCAACAGCUGUUUAUCUCGAACUUCAAGCCACGCGAGUCGCAGAAGAGAUGGGGUGACACCCGCAACGGCGUGGUGGUGCAGCGGGGGCCGGUGCAGAGCGCAAUGAUGCUGGCGAAGAAGGUCAACGCCGAGGCGCAGGCGGAAGCUGCCCUGCAGCGCUUCCUUACACUCAUCGAGGCACGCCGCACACUCGCCAUCCGCUCCUUUCGCAGCGCCUCCGAGUCAGCGUAUGACGGUAACUUGGGCAUGUCCGAGUUCCAGGAUUGUGUAAAGGAUCGCCUUAAGACGCCCAUGACGGAUGACGAGAUCGGGGCGCUGCUCUACCGGUUCUAUCACACUCCAGGGCUGAACGACUGGACGGCGAGGCGGCUUCCACUGCAAGAAAUCCGGCGUAUUCUCUUCCUGUGAGGGACGGCGAGACGCGCCGAUCGAAGUGUAUGCGCUAGUCUGGUGAGUGGGUGCCGCUGCCGGAUGUACACUAACGUGACUGCUUGUUUUUCUUAGUGCACGGUUCCUUAGUUUUGCUUUUCCAUCGAGAAUCCCUUCUAUUUCUUGCCUCUCUCUGUGCUUGCACGUGAGUUGCGGGGUAGUGGCGCCGCUUUACAACUGUGCCACGCUGCUUGCAGGGCCUGUGCCGUGGAUCGGUUCGCGCAACGGUCACCUUGUCCAGUGUGUGUCUCUAUCCUCCCCCCCCCACAGAGGGGGAGCGGCAGAUCUCUUGGGGUCAAUAUCUGUGUGUUUGCAUGUCUAUUAGAAUUCUUUUCUUCUGUGAAG